CAGUCGCCGCGGGAAUACGAAGGGGGCUAGCGUUGCUCGGAAUGACUGGGCGUAAAGGGCGCGUAGGCGGCUUGUACAGUCAGAUGUGAAAUUCCUGGGCUUAACCUGGGGGCUGCAUUUGAUACGUGCGGGCUAGAAUGUGAAAGAGGGUCGUGGAAUUCCCAGUGUAGAGGUGAAAUUCGUAGAUAUUGGGAAGAACACCGGUGGCGAAGGCAGCCCCCUGGGCCAAUACUGACGCUCAUGCACGAAAGCGUGGGGAGCAAACAGGAUUAGAUACCCCAGUAGUCCCUGUCUCUUAUAC
Molecule: ribosomal RNA, 301 nt
Filed under: uncultured bacterium
Lineage: Bacteria
Description: partial 16S ribosomal RNA
Rfam family: Bacterial small subunit ribosomal RNA
Source: RNAcentral